Oryza sativa Japonica Group (Japanese rice) is the source of this 2669-nucleotide long non-coding RNA. RefSeq lists it as uncharacterized. The record is from RefSeq and is a predicted model, not a curated record. NCBI's taxonomy places the organism in Eukaryota, Viridiplantae, Streptophyta, Magnoliopsida, Poales, Poaceae.
CAAGUGGUUACAUCAAACUCAGUUUAUGUCUCUACCGUGUUAUGGAUAUCUGCAUGUUAUGUCUCUACUGUGUUAUGGAUAUCUGCAUGUUAUGCUAUCCUGACCAGUUAUUUCAUUUAGGUUCAAGGACUUCCUGUGGUUGCAUCAAAAGCCUCUAAAUUUAUUUCAUUUAGGUUCAAGGACUUCCUGUUGUUGCAUCAAAAGCCUCUAAAUUGACUGAUUUGGAUGCACCUAUUUCAACUAGUCAAACCAAGUAUCUUGAGCUGCUAGCCAGGUAUUAUGUUCUCAAGGGGGAGCAUAUUGCUGCUGCUAGAAUGUUGUUGAUAUUGGCAGAAAGACAGUGCUCCAGUGCGGAAGAAGCUUCAACUCUUGACCAGAGGUAUCAAUAUCUGAGCAGUGCUGCGGUUCAGGGCAAAAGUGAAGGGAUUACUGCAGAUUCCUCGAGGAACCCUAUUGAUAGCAGCGCAGUAGAUCGACUUGAAGGCAAACUUGCAGUUCUUCAGUUCCAAAUGCAAAUCAAGUAAGAAUAGUUCAUGGCUUCACGGCUUGAAAAUCUGCCAGGCAGUACUGAAUCACCAAAUGAUGCCUUCCUCAUGAUAACAUUCUAGCUGAUGUGGAGACUGCUAGAUGUCCCAUGGACAAGGCUAAAGAGCUUUCACUGAAUCUCAAGAGUAUUACUCAACUUUUCAACAAUUAUGCUGUUCCUUUUAAUCUUUGGGAGGUAUGGCUAUCUUUGUUUCUUGGAGAUUUUUUCCUUGAUCCUGCUUUCUUCUCUCUUGUAAGAGGGUUACUAGGCAAUAAGCAUUUUUUUUACUAUUGAUAGCAGCACAGCAGAUCCACUUGUUUUUACCAGGAAUAACCAACAUAUCUAUGGGGAUCGUGACAGUUAGUAGAACUGUGAAAUUCACUUGAUAAGUUCUAAACUGUCAUAAAGAUUGCACUUCUUUUACUGUUAAAGUCAUAUGAACUGAUACCACAAAUCAGUAGGAUAGACUAUGACGUGUUGUGGACUUGCGGUGGUAGUGUGAUCAUACAAUGAAAACCGGUGAUCUGAGCAUAUCCUCAGCAUUCCAUUGCGUCUUUAUACAUUUAAUAAAUAUACUUGACUGGUUACUAUAUACAGAAUUACCAAUAAGGUUUCGGAAGCUUUCCACAUAACUACAUUAAAUGGGUAAUACAACUUUCUCAGUGUAAAUUGUAUCUCAAAAGAGUUUACUUAGUUGUGUGAAAAUAAGCAAGCACUUUAUCAAUAUUUUUUACAUGUUACGAUAGGUAUAUCUAAAUCCUCUGAAUUUGCAUCCACAAAAAACUCUUUUCGAAUUUCUCAUGUUGCUGAGUUUACAGUUUGUGAUAUAGUAAUAUAGCUCUAUAACUGGGUGUGGGAUCACAGUAAAUUCUCACAAGUUGCUGCUCUAAAGUUAUAUAUUAUGGUCUGCAUUUUUCUUGUGCAGCUGUAUGUAGUGCUUUACUUGCACUUAUUCACUUGGUAAGGUAAAUCUGUUUUAGAUAGUCACUGUAAUUUUUCAUGAUGACUUGAACCUUCUUGUUAACUUUGCAAAUUAUUCUGGAGAUGCUGACAGUAAAAUUAUUUGAGAAAUUUGGGCCAGGCUCCUUGGCCAGUACAAGAGGUGGUGUUGCAGAAGCAUGUUCUGUGGUGAGAAGAGUAGGUUCAAAACUUGAUCCUGCAGAUGGCUCUUGUUUACCAUUGGAUAUAAUAUGCCUUCAUCUCGAGAAGGCUGCACUGGAUAGAUUAAGCUCGGAGAAGGAUUAGUUGGUGACGAGGAUGUUGCAAGAGCCCUUCUUGGAGCCUGUAAAGGUCUACCUGAACCUGUGCUUGCCGUGUAUGAUCAACUGUUAUCAAAUGGCGCUAUUGUGCCCUCCCUAAACCUGAAGGUGUGGCUUCUGAGAUCAGUCCUUUUAAUCCUUCGUGAAUGGGCAUGACUGUCAUUGCACAUAAACUAGGCACCACAACUGCUGGGGCUUCAUUCUUUCUUGAUGGAACAUUUUCACCGAAUCAAACAUGGUCUUUAAAUCAAGGCAUCCGGGAUAAAAUAAUUAGUUUGGCAAACUGGUUGGCUGAGAUGAGGCGGUUCAACCUUCCACAGAACCAAAAAAAGAAUGACUAUCGAGGUUUCCGAGAGUUAGAAGAGAAAUUAUUAUCUAAUAAGUAGCCAUUUCAAUUUGUAUUCUCGGCACUGUAAAACAUGGGAUUGUGCAUUUGCUCUACCAAGUAGAGAGAAAGCCAGCCAUCCUGGUUCAAUUGGACAUGAUCUCUGAUAUGCUCUUCCUGUGGUUGACGUCAUUGCGAGAUCCCAAGGGUACCAAGAGACUGCAUAUCAAUCAAAUAUUAUCCAUCUGUGCAACCUCCUUAUUUUAGCCAAACAAUCAGUAUGAAUUACGGAAUUACGGCUGUUAAUGUGGUAAAGUUAUUUUGGGCUGAUUGCUAGUAAGUCCUGCGGGCGAUGCCAUUCGUCUGGCAUUACUUGCGGUGGAUCAGGAUUCAGGAGAGGAGUGCAAAGUGAACUAGAGCUCUUAAAAGCGACACAAAGAUCUCUUGUUGCAUUCAUGUUCUACAACUUCAAUUUGUACCGUGUUGUAAAUUUCCGUACCAAACGAUUCUUUAAGGAUGAACGUUUAGGUUUUGUAGCUUUCCAUAUAUUUUUUUGAGA